This 455-nucleotide ribosomal RNA is filed under the name uncultured Sphingobacteriales bacterium. RNAcentral describes it as "bacterial SSU rRNA". It matches the Rfam family "Bacterial small subunit ribosomal RNA", at positions 925 to 1382 of the family's 1533-position model. The record is from RNAcentral. Lineage: Bacteria; Pseudomonadati; Bacteroidota; Sphingobacteriia; Sphingobacteriales.
ACAAGCGGUGGAGCAUGUGGUUUAAUUCGAUGAUACGCGAGGAACCUUACCUGGGCUCAAAUGUAUGUUGACGUAUUCUGAAAGGGAUACUUCUUCGGACAAUAUACAAGGUGCUGCAUGGUUGUCGUCAGCUCGUGCCGUGAGGUGUCGGGUUAAGUCCCAUAACGAGCGCAACCCCUAUCAUUAGUUGCCAUCAGGUCAAGCUGGGGACUCUAAUGAAACUGCCUACGCAAGUAGUGAGGAAGGUGGGGAUGACGUCAAAUCAGCACGGCCCUUACGGCCUGGGCUACACACGUGCUACAAUGGUCGGUACAAAGGGUUGCCAAGCCGCGAGGUGGAGCUAAUCCCAUAAAACCGAUCGUAGUCCGGAUCGCAGUCUGCAACUCGACUGCGUGAAGUCGGAAUCGCUAGUAAUCGUGAAUCAGAAUGUCACGGUGAAUACGUUCCCGGGCCUU